GUGAAUCAUCGAAUUUUUGAACGCAAAUUGCGCUUUCUGGUAUUCCGGAGAGUAUGCCUGUUUGAGGGUCAGUUAUAUAUAAAUCGUUGUUGUUGCUGCCUUUCGUGGUGACACGUCUGAAUUAGGUCGUCUUACCUUCGGUUAAGUGACUUAAAAUUUUUGCAUGAUAUUCGAACGUAUUUAAAUCGCUUACGUACGUAUGAGAUAUCGAAUACUUUAUUUGGUUCGGUCUUCCUCAU
Molecule: unclassified non-coding RNA, 239 nt
Filed under: Glomus sp.
Lineage: Eukaryota; Fungi; Glomeromycota; Glomeromycetes; Glomerales; Glomeraceae
Description: partial contains 5.8S ribosomal RNA and internal transcribed spacer 2
Rfam family: 5.8S ribosomal RNA (bases 1-71)
Source: RNAcentral